AUUGAACGCUGGCGGCAGGCCUAACACAUGCAAGUCGAGCGGAUGAAGGGAGCUUGCUCCUGGAUUCAGCGGCGGACGGGUGAGUAAUGCCUAGGAAUCUGCCUGGUAGUGGGGGAUAACGUCCGGAAACGGGCGCUAAUACUGCAUACGUCCUGAGGGAGAAAGUGGGGGAUCUUCGGACCUCACGCUAUCAGAUGAGCCUAGGUCGGAUUAGCUAGUUGGUGGGGUAAAGGCCUACCAAGGCGACGAUCUGUAACUGGUCUGAGAGGAUGAUCAGUCACACUGGAACUGAGACACGGUCCAGACUCCUACGGGAGGCAGCAGUGGGGAAUAUUGGACAAUGGGCGAAAGCCUGAUCCAGCCAUGCCGCGUGUGUGAAGAAGGUCUUCGGAUUGUAAAGCACUUUAAGUUGGGAGGAAGGGCAGUAAGUUAAUACCUUGCUGUUUUGACGGUACCAACAGAAUAAGCACCGGCUAACUUCGUG
RNAcentral lists this ribosomal RNA (484 nucleotides) under uncultured bacterium. Its description in RNAcentral is "partial 16S ribosomal RNA". It matches the Rfam family "Bacterial small subunit ribosomal RNA", at positions 30 to 507 of the family's 1533-position model. The record is from RNAcentral.